GGAGAGGUGGCCGAGCUGGUUGAAGGCGGCAUCCUGCUAAGAUGUUGUAGGGCCAAAAGCUCUACCGAGGGUUCGAAUCCCUCCCUCUCCG
This 91-nucleotide transfer RNA is filed under the name Candidatus Melainabacteria bacterium RIFCSPLOWO2_12_FULL_35_11. RNAcentral describes it as "tRNA-Ser". It matches the Rfam family "tRNA". Rfam says of the family: Transfer RNA (tRNA) molecules are approximately 80 nucleotides in length. The record is from RNAcentral. Lineage: Bacteria; Bacillati; Candidatus Melainabacteria.